AGUGAGGAAUUUUCCACACUGGGCGAAAGCCUGAUGGAGCAAUACCGCGUGAGGGAUGACUGCCCGUGGGUAUUAAACCUCUUUUCUCAAGGAAGAAGUUCUGACGGUACUUGAGGAAUAAGCACCGGCUAACUCUGUGCCAGCAGCCGCGGUAAUACAGAGGGUGCAAGCGUUGUCCGGAAUGAUUGGGCGUAAAGCGUUCGUAGGUGGUUCUUAAAGUCUUCUGUCAAAUCCCAGAGCUCAACUCUGGACAGGCAUUGGAGUACUCAAGGACUAGAGAAAGGUAGAAGUAGAGGGAACUCUCAGUGGAGCGGUGAAAUGCACAGAGAUUGGGAAGAACACCAGUGGCGAAAGCGCUCUACUAGGCCUUAUCUGACACUGAGGGACGACAGCUAGGGGAGCGAA
This 405-nucleotide ribosomal RNA is filed under the name uncultured bacterium. RNAcentral describes it as "bacterial SSU rRNA". It matches the Rfam family "Bacterial small subunit ribosomal RNA", at positions 353 to 772 of the family's 1533-position model. The record is from RNAcentral.